This is a long non-coding RNA of Eptesicus fuscus (big brown bat), 367 nucleotides long. RefSeq lists it as uncharacterized. The record is from RefSeq and is a predicted model, not a curated record. The transcript is spliced from 3 exons. Lineage: Eukaryota; Metazoa; Chordata; Mammalia; Chiroptera; Vespertilionidae.
UGAGUCCGCGAUCCGGGGUUUGGGCUCCGCCAGGGGUUCUGUUUAUAAACACACAGCGAGGUCGCCGGCGGCCUGGGGUAAACCUUAAGGUUGAACCUUCCGACCGCCGUGACCUUUGACCGCGUUUGACCAUCUGUGAGUGGCAGUGGGCGGAGCCGACGCAACACCAAGGAUCGGAGCAGCUUCCGUGAGCUCAGACCAGACACUGAGCGGCUGAGUCCAUCGCAGCCGCCGAACCAGGAGAGCGAGUCUCUAACCACCUUCAAAAAACCCGAAAGUCACAAAAGCCAGGCCUUAGGAUUGUGAGCCACCAAGACACAUCCUGCUGCUUGACCGUAGGCGGCAGGAUCUUCCUGCCCCGGGGGGG